UCACCAGUAACGAUUUCUUUUAAUGUUUUCCACAGAAGACGCUGUGGACGGGUCAGCGUGUCAACGUGGAGUGACAGGAUGUAGCUCCUGUGCACACGGCUGGAUCUCUGCCUGUGUCAGGGUCUCCCCAUCACUGCCGAGGGGACACUGGGCAGCUGGAAACCCUCAGACAGAGCUCCAGGGAACACACAGGAGUCACAAUUACACACACCUUCCAGGAGGACAAGGAAGAAAGACCAAAGGCCGGUGUAUAAUCAAAGGGGCCAGAAGAUGAGGCCAAUCCAAGGAGGGAAGAGCCUGAGCCAGGCCAGACCUGAGGCCAGAAUGCAGCCAGCCCCCCACACCCGGGAAGCCAGGCCAGCAUCCAGCCCCACACCCAGGAAGCCAAGGGGAGGAGCAAAGAAUGAAGAGAAACUGGGGCAGCAGAUCAUCUGUGUCCUUCGGUGACAUCCAACUGCAGGAAUUGCUCGGAACAGGAAGAAAUGGAUCCAGCAGGGACUCCGGGGUGACGAGGAGGGGCUUUUGUAAAAGGUCUGGUGGUGGGAAAAAAGCUUCAACUAAGUCAAACUUAAUUGGAUGCCUACUAUCUACAAGGCCCUGUGCUGGGCAGGACAAUACCAAGGACCAUCCAUCGUGCAAGUCAUGAAGGCUAAUACUGCAGCUGUGAAAUUUGACUGCAAGCUUCCAGGAAGCAAAAAUAGACACAUGGAGAAUAAAUUACCAUGGAUAGAAUUGCUGGGACAAAAGAUACAUAAAUUUUAAACUGUAGAACACGCAUUUCUGAGUCACUCUUCAGAAAGCAUUCCACUCCCAAACUGCUUGGCAUGGAAGGAUUUCCACAAUGUAUUAAGUGAAA
Camelus dromedarius (Arabian camel) is the source of this 856-nucleotide long non-coding RNA. RefSeq lists it as uncharacterized. The record is from RefSeq and is a predicted model, not a curated record. The transcript has 7 exons. Lineage: Eukaryota; Metazoa; Chordata; Mammalia; Artiodactyla; Camelidae.